AAUUCCUUGUCGGGUAAGUUCCGACCUGCACGAAUGGCGUAAUGAUGGCCAGGCUGUCUCCACCCGAGACUCAGUGAAAUUGAACUCGCUGUGAAGAUGCAGUGUACCCGCGGCAAGACGGAAAGACCCCGUGAACCUUUACUAUAGCUUGACACUGAACAUUGAGCCUUGAUGUGUAGGAUAGGUGGGAGGCUUUGAAGCGUGGACGCCAGUCUGCGUGGAGCCAACCUUGAAAUACCACCCUUUAAUGUUUGAUGUUCUAACGUUGGCCCCUUACCGGGGUUGCGGACAGUGUCUGGUGGGUAGUUUGACUGGGGCGGUCUCCUCCCAAAGCGUAACGGAGGAGCACGAAGGUUAGCUAAUCCUGGUCGGACAUCAGGAGGUUAGUGCAAUGGCAUAAGCUAGCUUGACUGCGAGCGUGACGGCGCGAGCAGGUGCGAAAGCAGGUCAUAGUGAUCCGGUGGUU
Molecule: ribosomal RNA, 466 nt
Filed under: Pseudomonas aeruginosa
Lineage: Bacteria; Pseudomonadati; Pseudomonadota; Gammaproteobacteria; Pseudomonadales; Pseudomonadaceae
Description: partial 23S ribosomal RNA
Rfam family: Bacterial large subunit ribosomal RNA
Source: RNAcentral